This 253-nucleotide ribosomal RNA is filed under the name uncultured bacterium. Its description in RNAcentral is "partial 16S ribosomal RNA". It matches the Rfam family "Bacterial small subunit ribosomal RNA", at positions 524 to 776 of the family's 1533-position model. The record is from RNAcentral.
UACGUAGGGGGCAAGCGUUGUCCGGAAUUAUUGGGCGUAAAGAGCGUGUAGGCGGUCCGGUAAGUCAGCUGUGAAAGUCAAGGGCUCAACCCUUGAAUGCCGGUUGAUACUGUCGGGCUAGAGUCCGGAAGAGGCGAGUGGAAUUCCCGGUGUAGCGGUGAAAUGCGCAGAUAUCGGGAGGAACACCUGUGGUGUAGACGGCUUACUGGACCAUGACUGACGCUGAGGCACGAAAGCGUGGGGAGCAAACAGG